GACUCCGUAGCUCAGCUGGUAGAGCAAUUGACUCUUAAUCAAUGGGUNNGAGCCUCUCCGGGGUCA
Molecule: transfer RNA, 66 nt
Filed under: Porphyromonadaceae bacterium
Lineage: Bacteria; Pseudomonadati; Bacteroidota; Bacteroidia; Bacteroidales; Porphyromonadaceae
Description: tRNA-Lys
Rfam family: tRNA
About the family: Transfer RNA (tRNA) molecules are approximately 80 nucleotides in length. Their secondary structure includes four short double-helical elements and three loops (D, anti-codon, and T loops).
Source: RNAcentral